CCUACGGGAGGCAGCAGUGGGGAAUAUUGGGCAAUGGGCGCAAGCCUGAUCCAGCAACGCCGCGUGAAGGAAGAAGGCUUUCGGGUUGUAAACUUCUUUUGUCAGGGACGAAGCACGUGACGGUACCUGACGAAUCAGCACCGGCUAAAUACGUGCCAGCAGCCGCGGUAAUACGUAGGGGGCAAGCGUUAUCCGGAUUUACUGGGUGUAAAGGGCGUGUAGGCGGGACUGCAAGUCAGAUGUGAAAACCACGGGCUCAACCUGUGGCCUGCUUUGGAAACUGUAGAUCUUGAGUACAGGAGAGGCAGACGGAAUUCCUAGUGUAGCGGUGAAAUGCGUAGAUAUUAGGAGGAACACCAGUGGCGAAGGCGGUCUACUGGACAGCAACUGACGUUGAGGCGCGAAAGCGUGGGGAGCAAACAGGAUUAGAUACCCUAGUAGUC
This 443-nucleotide ribosomal RNA is filed under the name uncultured bacterium. Its description in RNAcentral is "partial 16S ribosomal RNA". It matches the Rfam family "Bacterial small subunit ribosomal RNA", at positions 338 to 795 of the family's 1533-position model. The record is from RNAcentral.